GACGCUGCUGUGUGGCUGCGCACUGCUGAGGGGUUCUCUCGCACAUGGUAGUUCCCAAACUGCAUUGGUGCAGUUGAUGGAAAACACAUCCACAUCAAGCGGCCCAAGAACUCUGGCGCCAUGUAUUUCAAUUAUAAGGGCACAUACUCCAUCGUCCUCCUUGCCAUAGUCGAUAGUGACUACAAGUUUUUGGUCAUGGAUAUUGGCGCCUAUGGCAAGCAGAGCGAUGGAGGAGUCCUCCACCAGUCGCAGUUUGGGCAGCGCUUGGAGCAAGCCCAGUUGCAGCUGCCAAGAAGCUUGGCCUUGCCAAACACCAUGCAGCAAGCUCCGUGUGUGUUUGUCGGGGACGAGGCUUUCCAGCUCCGGCCAGACUUCCUAAGGCCAUACCCUGGACGAUAGCUCGAAGACAGGAAACGGAUCUUCAACUACCGCCUGAGCAGAGCAAGGAGGUGCGCAGAGAACGCCUUCGGAAUCCUCGUGACACGCUGGAGGAUUCUUGAAAGGACAAUGGCGGAAGAUCCCAAGAAUGCCGAAGAGGCCGUCAAAGCCCUUUGUGUGCUGCACAAUUUCCUGAUGCACAGGCGCACAGAGGGUGAUGAUGCGUACUGUGGUCCUGCAUGUACCGAUUCUGUCAAUGUAUUCGGGCACCAACGGUCUGGCCAGUGGCGUGAGCAGCUAACACAGCCACCGUUGCCAGUGGCUCGCACCCAGGCACGUAAUUUUGCCCAAGCAGCUCGGCAUGUGAGAGAAACAUAUGCCAACUACUUCAGCAGUACUGCAGGAAGUGUGUCCUGGCAGGAUGCAGUACUGAGGUAGCAUGUAGCUUUAUUUGCAUGUAUUGAGAAGGCAUACUGUAGGAGGCUUUAAUGUUUUCAUGUGUGUUAUGCAUUUUCAUGCCUGCCAACCUGGCGAGAUCAAAAGUCGGGAGACU
Non-coding RNA from Dermacentor albipictus, 931 nucleotides. The record is from RefSeq and is a predicted model, not a curated record. NCBI's taxonomy places the organism in Eukaryota, Metazoa, Arthropoda, Arachnida, Ixodida, Ixodidae.